ACACCUCAACUCUCAUGGUUAGCCAUGAUGAGCUUGGACUUUGGGGGUUUUGCUGGCCUGUGGUCAGCUCCUCUCAAACGGAUCAGCUUACCAGUAUUUGGUGGCGUCACAGGUGUGAUAAUUAUCUACGCUUGCGGUUGUCUGCCGAGUGACCUUUGGUGACAGAGGUUCGCUGGAGCUUAUAAACGUCUCUCCUCAGCGAAGACAGCUUUUUGACC
RNAcentral lists this unclassified non-coding RNA (218 nucleotides) under uncultured Tomentella. RNAcentral's name for it is "sequence contains ITS2". The record is from RNAcentral. Lineage: Eukaryota; Fungi; Basidiomycota; Agaricomycetes; Thelephorales; Thelephoraceae.